Molecule: ribosomal RNA, 1522 nt
Filed under: Salmonella enterica
Lineage: Bacteria; Pseudomonadati; Pseudomonadota; Gammaproteobacteria; Enterobacterales; Enterobacteriaceae
Description: bacterial SSU rRNA
Rfam family: Bacterial small subunit ribosomal RNA
Source: RNAcentral
AGAGUUUGAUCAUGGCUCAGAUUGAACGCUGGCGGCAGGCCUAACACAUGCAAGUCGAACGGUAACAGAAAGCAGCUUGCUGCUUUGCUGACGAGUGGCGGACGGGUGAGUAAUGUCUGGGAAACUGCCUGAUGGAGGGGGAUAACUACUGGAAACGGUGGCUAAUACCGCAUAACGUCGCAAGACCAAAGAGGGGGACCUUCGGGCCUCUUGCCAUCAGAUGUGCCCAGAUGGGAUUAGCUUGUUGGUGAGGUAACGGCUCACCAAGGCGACGAUCCCUAGCUGGUCUGAGAGGAUGACCAGCCACACUGGAACUGAGACACGGUCCAGACUCCUACGGGAGGCAGCAGUGGGGAAUAUUGCACAAUGGGCGCAAGCCUGAUGCAGCCAUGCCGCGUGUAUGAAGAAGGCCUUCGGGUUGUAAAGUACUUUCAGCGGGGAGGAAGGUGUUGUGGUUAAUAACCGCAGCAAUUGACGUUACCCGCAGAAGAAGCACCGGCUAACUCCGUGCCAGCAGCCGCGGUAAUACGGAGGGUGCAAGCGUUAAUCGGAAUUACUGGGCGUAAAGCGCACGCAGGCGGUCUGUCAAGUCGGAUGUGAAAUCCCCGGGCUCAACCUGGGAACUGCAUUCGAAACUGGCAGGCUUGAGUCUUGUAGAGGGGGGUAGAAUUCCAGGUGUAGCGGUGAAAUGCGUAGAGAUCUGGAGGAAUACCGGUGGCGAAGGCGGCCCCCUGGACAAAGACUGACGCUCAGGUGCGAAAGCGUGGGGAGCAAACAGGAUUAGAUACCCUGGUAGUCCACGCCGUAAACGAUGUCUACUUGGAGGUUGUGCCCUUGAGGCGUGGCUUCCGGAGCUAACGCGUUAAGUAGACCGCCUGGGGAGUACGGCCGCAAGGUUAAAACUCAAAUGAAUUGACGGGGGCCCGCACAAGCGGUGGAGCAUGUGGUUUAAUUCGAUGCAACGCGAAGAACCUUACCUGGUCUUGACAUCCACGGAAGUUUUCAGAGAUGAGAAUGUGCCUUCGGGAACCGUGAGACAGGUGCUGCAUGGCUGUCGUCAGCUCGUGUUGUGAAAUGUUGGGUUAAGUCCCGCAACGAGCGCAACCCUUAUCCUUUGUUGCCAGCGGUUAGGCCGGGAACUCAAAGGAGACUGCCAGUGAUAAACUGGAGGAAGGUGGGGAUGACGUCAAGUCAUCAUGGCCCUUACGACCAGGGCUACACACGUGCUACAAUGGCGCAUACAAAGAGAAGCGACCUCGCGAGAGCAAGCGGACCUCAUAAAGUGCGUCGUAGUCCGGAUUGGAGUCUGCAACUCGACUCCAUGAAGUCGGAAUCGCUAGUAAUCGUGGAUCAGAAUGCCACGGUGAAUACGUUCCCGGGCCUUGUACACACCGCCCGUCACACCAUGGGAGUGGGUUGCAAAAGAAGUAGGUAGCUUAACCUUCGGGAGGGCGCUUACCACUUUGUGAUUCAUGACUGGGGUGAAGUCGUAACAAGGUAACCGUAGGGGAACCUGCGGUUG